UUUGUUGUUGGCAAUUGAUUUAGUUUUGAUCUUAAUACUGGCCACUAGUUGAUUUUCUCCAGUGUUGGAUUGAUUAAAUUAUAUUGCAUGUGUCUAUGGCAUAUUUUCUUAAUGGCAUCUAUUUUGUAUAAUAUCUUCUCUUUGCAAAAUGCUACCCCAUUUUUGUUUUAACCUUUUCAAUGCUUUGGUAGAUGGAGCUGAUCUGGGAUGAACUUGGGCCAAAUAUGGAGGAUCUUUUCCAAAUGGGAAGGCCAGGAGUGGUUGCUUCACUUAUUGCUGCAUGUGAAAGGCUUCAUAUUAAUGAACGGAAGUGUUGUCAAGUGCUUGCUAAAACAGUGUGUUUAGCAGAUGAGAAUUCAAAAUGGAUUGUUCCACGACUACUAUUUCUUAAUAGCUCUUUCACUUGUGAAGAUAAAUCCAAUUGGAUCUGGCAAAGUGGAGCCAAAAUGAAUGUCAUGGGGUCUCUGAUUCUGCAAACAAUAUUCUGGUUUAAUAGUCCUUGAUGCUCUCAGGAACCAUGAUUCACCAGAGGAAAACGAUCAAGAUUGAUGUUUUGGUUGCAUGUGUCACAUUUAAAUGUAGAAGUUCAACGGCACACUAGGUUGAAGAAGUUCGACAUUAAGGAAAAUGAUCAACAUUAAUGUUUUGGUUGCAUGUGUCACAUUUAAAGGUGACAUCAUUGCUACGUUUCAUUGCCAAACUUCGUGAUGGUGAGAAAUAUGAGAUUAAUUUUGAUCGGGAUACUUUCCAACCUAUUGGCCAGUAUGCUGCGAAGUUCAAGAGUUAUUUGUCAUUCGUUGCACGUAGCAAGGUUAGUAUAAAUGAAGAGAAAUGGAAAAAGCUACCCGAAAACUUGAAGAAAGCGAUAACUUGAAGAAAGCAAUAUGCUAAGUUCACUUGCCCCCGUGAUGAUAAUGAUGAAGAUAAUAAGCAACUUAAGAAGCAUUGGUAUAGAGACAUAGAAAUGUUGCCAAAACAAAAAUCAAAGAAGAAGAAGAAAACUUAUAUAUAUGAAGAAAGUGUUAUGACUUAGUUAAAAUAUAAUUUUUAUGUGUAUGAUUUUAUAGUACUAGAAAUAUAUGACUAUACAUGAUUUUGUAUACUUUUUGGUUAAUAUUAAAAAUAUUUUGACUUAGUUAAAAUAUGAUUUUUAUGUGUAUGACUUUAUAGUAUUUGCAAUAUUAUGACUGAAAAUGAAAUAUAACUAAAUGGUGUAUAUGAAAUAGGGUGUAAAUAGAUUUAAAUAUAAUAU
This is a long non-coding RNA of Vicia villosa (hairy vetch), 1252 nucleotides long. RefSeq lists it as uncharacterized. The record is from RefSeq and is a predicted model, not a curated record. The transcript is spliced from 4 exons. NCBI's taxonomy places the organism in Eukaryota, Viridiplantae, Streptophyta, Magnoliopsida, Fabales, Fabaceae.